CCACGUGGCAGGUCCGAGCACAGCCCUUGCUUGAUUUUACUUGCACUUCUGCUCCUCUUCCCUCCCCACGAAGAGAGGAUGCUGGUCCCAGAGGGAGAAUGAGAGAGCUGAGCCUCUGAGCCGCUCCAUCACCCAACCUGCAGUGGCAAAACCCGUCCAGGUGACGCCUCCAGAGACUCCCAGCAGCACCUGGGGUGAGGGGUGCCCUCUACACCUGUCACAACUGCAGCGUGAAUAAGCCCGGGCUAGCGACUUUAAGACCAGAGUACCUGGGAUUAACUAAAGCAACCCUCAUGAAAUGGACCAGUGGCUUAAACAUCUCCCUGCAGAGAAGCGACAGAUGGAAGAUAAUUCCACUGAUACAGGUGAGCAGUAAGAAAACGGCUGAGUAAUACGAGAGGACAUAUGCAUAAAUUACAAGCUUCUUCCGCUCAACAUAACGUCUGUGAGAUCAUCCACGUUGUGUGUAUCCGUGGCCCCGUUUCACAGAGGAAGAAACAAAGGCUCAGACAGACUAAGGGAAGUGGCGUCGGAGGAAAGCCCCAGCUCUCCGAGGACGUCCCAUUCUCUGUUUGAGCACCGUCGUCCCCUGAUGGUCCAUGCUGAUCGCCAGCCCAGGCAUUCCUUCCUGUGCUGGGACUUCCUUCCACGCACAGUCGAUUGGGGAUCAUUCCAUCAGCAAAGGCUCUGACCUGCUAAAUCUCAUCCAUCAGACUGGCCAUACGCCUUCCAACUGAGCUGGUAAUGUGAUCACGUGACCACGCCGUGGCGAGUCGGUUCCCGUGGCCCGUUCAUCAUCGCUUCACAGGCGCUUUCUGUGGACUCCGGUCAAAUCCUCUGUGUCAGCACCGUGUGUACCCUGUUGCACCCCACAGGUGACCCGGUAGAGGUUCCUGGCUGCAUCUGUGCACUCAGAUGCAUGUCCAGUUGCACACGUGCCUCUCUGGCAGAAAAUCUUUGAGGUGGAACCCAACGGGCUGGGUUUGAAUCCUGACUCUACUACUUAUAGGCUGUACAACUUUGCCCUAGUUACCCUCUCUGUGCCUCAGUUUCCCAUCUGUAAAAUGGGGAUGAAGACAGAAUCCACUUCUUGGAGUGUAUUCGUUUCCGGGGCUGCCACAACAAAGUACCAUAGACUUAGUGGCUUAAAAAACCGAAAUCUAAUCGCUCACAGUUCUGGAGGCCAGAAGUCUGAAAUCAGGGCAUCGGCAAGGUUGGUGACUUCUGGGGUCGCUGGUGGAGAAUCUAUUCCAUGCCCCUCUCUGAGCUUCUGGUGGUUGCCGGCCGUCCUGGAUGUUGCUUGGCUUGUAGACGCAUCACUCCAAUUUCUGCCUCUGUCAACACAUAACUGUCUUCCCUCUGUGUGUCUCUGUGUCCAAAGUUCCCUCUUCUUAUAAGGACACCAGUCAUUGGCUAAGGGCCCACCCUCAUUGGUAUGACCUCAUCUGAUCUUGGUUACAUCUGCAAACCCCCUAUUUCCAAAUGAGGUCACAUUCACGGGUUCCAGGUGGAUGUGAAUUUUGGGGAGACACUAAUCACCCCAAGACAUGGGUUAAUGUGAGUUAAUAUCUGUGCCAUGCUGAGAACAGCCCCGGGCACCUGCGUAAGUCAUGUUCCACAAUAGCAUUUGUUAUCAUCACUGGCACAUGGGAGGAAUAUAAAUCCCACUCUCUUUUAAGUGGCUGUCGGGGAGGGAGUUCCCCGGCGGCCCAGUGGUUAAGACUCAGCGCUUUCACUGCCGGGGCCCGGGUUCAAUCCCUCAUCGGGGAAUGAAGAUCCCGCAAGAUGUGCGACUUGGCCAAAACAAAGAAAGAAACAAACAAACAAAAAACGGCUUUGGGGGGGUUCUGUUCCAUGUGGCCAAAUAAAACCCUGACAGGGACGUGACCCUCACCAUGCCUGAGGCUGGCCGGGUCCUGGCUCUUCCCGAGGACCCGCCUCUGUCUCCAGGCCCCUCCCCCUCCCCCUCCCCCUUGGCAUUCAGCUGCAUCAUGCAGCUGGGGAGGGUGCUAGCAAGCAAUAAAACAGAGGAAGCUUGCUCCAAUUCUGGCUUUCCAACAAGGAGAGCUUAAUGAGGCAAUUAAGCAGAACUAUUUUCUCUUUAUCUCCCUCUCCAUCUUCCCCAGCGAUGUCAGUGCUCAGAGCUGGAGGGCCCUUGAAGAUGAGAAGAGCCUGUCCCCCUCGGUUGCAGGAACAGGUGAGCAGGACUCAGAGAGGGGCAGCGGCUGGGCCAAGGUCACACAGCGAGUCGGUGGGAUCACCGGCUUGGCAAACCCUGGCAGGGGAGGGGUCGGAAUGGGCCACGUGGGGACAGUGGCAGGCUGGGAUACGCAGGGCCUGGCCAGAGAGCGACGUCACUGUGAAGUGGCACUGCCCAGGUGGACCACAUGGACUCCGUGUAUGAGGUCAGCUGAGUUUUCAAGAGAAGCUAAAAUCCACCUUUAUAAAGGAUGCCAUCUAGUAAUUCAAAGUUCUAGAAAACCCAGUGUAGGCCACACAGAGUGGUCCUCGCUGAGAACAGUGUCUUCGCUCAGCUACUAGGGUGCCCGUGGUGGGCACAGCCCAGAGGGCGGGUGGGGAGGAGCGUUUGGUCCUGUGUGUGCAGUGUGCCUGGGCUUCUCCUGGUCCCCCGCGUAGUGAGAUGGGAGCUUCCUGGCCCGCCUGCGUUAGUGUUCCCUCCGAAAUCCCCGUCCAGCCAAGCGGUCUUCAGCAGCCUGCCAUGCACGGUGUGUAUGUUGUGCACUGCACAAAGGCGCCCGCUGGAGAGGUGACUGGGGUGCUCUCGGGCUGCGCCCGGCUUGCUUGCUCAGCUGCUUAUCCUGGAAGAAGCAUCUGAUUGUUGGAACGCAUCCACCCAGGGAGUUCUCUUUUUCUAAUUCUCACAGUGCUGGGUCAGUUUGGGUCCUUCAAGAAGAUGCCGAGAUGAGGGACUUCCCUGGCGGUCCAGUGGUUAGGACUCUGGGCUUUCACUGGCGCGAGCACAGGUUCCAUCCCUGGUCGGGGAGCUAAGAUCCCGCAAGCCGCGCGGCAUGGCAAAAAAGCCCAACAAAUUAAAAAGAAGAUGCCAAGGUGAGAUUCGAUGUGCAAGUGGGUCAUUAGGGGAAACAGCUCUAGGAGAAAAGGAGGAGGCGGGAGAGCCUUCAGGCUGAGAUGCAACUCUGGCCUCCGUGCGGAGUGAGACAGGAGGGGCUCAGGCCUCAGCACAGUUCUAAGGAAGUUUUUGUGCAGGCUGAUGGGGAAUUCUGGAGCCAGGGUCCCCCAUCGGGGGCAUCCCACAUCCUGCCGGGAUGGGCCUACCUUUAUUUCCCUUCCUCGCUGGGUCAUUGGUGGGAGCACCUGAGGGGCUCAGGGUGGGUUCAGAGCACAGCAGCGGGGCUGUCAAUCAGUCACUCAUGUGCCCCACAGCAGGAGACCCCAGGGGAUGACGGUCAAGGCUGUCAUGGUGCUGAAUCUGCUAGUGGGUGCCCUGAUCUGUGAAGACACAGUUAAAAACAGCCGGCACGGUAAAUCAGACAGAGAAAGACAAAUAUCAUAGGGUGCUGCUUGUAUGUGGACUCUAAAAAAAGGGUACAAAUGAACUUAUCUACAAAACAGAAACAGAGUCACAGAUGUAGAAAACAAACUUAUGGUUACCAGGAGGUAAGGGGAGGGGAGGGAUAAAUUGGGAGAUUGGGACUGACAUAUACACACUACUAUAUAUAAAAUAGAUAACUAAUAAGGGCCUACUGUAUAGCACAGGGAACUCUACUCAAUACUCUGUUAUGGCCUAUAUGGGAAAAGAAUCUAAAAAAGAGUGGAUAUAUGUAUAUGUAUAACUGAUUGACUUUGCUGUACCCCCGAAACUAACACGACAUUGUAAAUCAACUACACUGCAAUAAAACAAACAAACAAACA
Molecule: long non-coding RNA, 3894 nt
Organism: Balaenoptera ricei (Rice's whale)
Lineage: Eukaryota; Metazoa; Chordata; Mammalia; Artiodactyla; Balaenopteridae
Exons: 3
Source: RefSeq, a predicted model, not a curated record